CAGCAGCCGCGGGAAAACGGAGGGUGCAAGCGUUAAUCGGAAUUACUGGGCGUAAAGCGCACGCAGGCGGUCUGACAAGUCAGAUGUGAAAUCCCCGGGCUUAACCUGGGAACUGCAUUUGAAACUGUCAGGCUGGAGUCUUGUAGAGGGGGGUAGAAUUCCAGGUGUAGCGGUGAAAUGCGUAGAGAUCUGGAGGAAUACCGGUGGCGAAGGCGGCCCCCUGGACAAAGACUGACGCUCAGGUGCGAAAGCGUGGGGAGCAAACAGGAUUAGAUACCCCUGUAGUCCCUGUCUCUUAUAA
RNAcentral lists this ribosomal RNA (301 nucleotides) under uncultured bacterium. RNAcentral's name for it is "partial 16S ribosomal RNA". It matches the Rfam family "Bacterial small subunit ribosomal RNA", at positions 509 to 809 of the family's 1533-position model. The record is from RNAcentral.